AGUGAACGCUGGCGGUAGGCCUAACACAUGCAAGUCGAACGGCAGCACAGUAAGAGCUUGCUCUUACGGGUGGCGAGUGGCGGACGGGUGAGGAAUACAUCGGAAUCUACUUUUUCGUGGGGGAUAACGUAGGGAAACUUACGCUAAUACCGCAUACGACCUACGGGUGAAAGCAGGGGAUCUUCGGACCUUGCGCGAUUGAAUGAGCCGAUGUCGGAUUAGCUAGUUGGCGGGGUAAAGGCCCACCAAGGCGAUGAUCCGUAGCUGGUCUGAGAGGAUGAUCAGCCACACUGGAACUGAGACACGGUCCAGACUCCUACGGGAGGCAGCAGUGGGGAAUAUUGGACAAUGGGCGCAAGCCUGAUCCAGCCAUACCGCGUGGGUGAAGAAGGCCUUCGGGUUGUAAAGCCCUUUUGUUGGGAAAGAAAAGCAGCAGGUUAAUACCCCGCGGUUCUGACGGUACCCAAAGAAUAAGCACCGGCUAACUUCGUG
RNAcentral lists this ribosomal RNA (492 nucleotides) under uncultured bacterium. RNAcentral describes it as "partial 16S ribosomal RNA". It matches the Rfam family "Bacterial small subunit ribosomal RNA", at positions 29 to 507 of the family's 1533-position model. The record is from RNAcentral.